GUAGAUCUGGGGUGGGGCCUGAGAAUCUACAUUCCUAACAAGGUCUCAGGAGCAGCUGAUGCAGCUGGUCCGGGCACCGCAUUUUGAGGCCCACAGUCCAAAGCAACCCUGACGGACACAGGAUCCAGGGUUAGGGGACCAGGCUUCAAGCUUGAUGCUGCUACAAGAGGCUGUGUGGACUCAGAUGAGAAAAUGGAGCAACAAGUUCAUGAAGAUUUAAAAUAAGGCACCUCUGAGAAUUCAAAUCUGUUACCCAGGGCCACCAUGUUGAACACUACCCGGGUUGCACAUUGUAUAACUUUCUGCUGCAUCAUCCACAUAAACUAGGAUUUAAACGGCGCCCCUUGGAUUUGUGCAUCAUGGCAGGCCAUCAUCCAUUCAAAUUAAGAACACGGAAAAGGAUACCGAUGUGUUAAACCACCAAAGAACAUUGAAAACUAGUCUAUUGUUGUAGAUGUGAUUAAGGUGUUUGUGGUGUUAAAGGUAAUACGGCUCUUAAUACUUUGCCUAGAAUUGAAAGUUGAUUUGAAGUUUUAAUAUGGCCGCUGCCCCAAAGAUGAGUCAUUGUUUUAGUUCUAUUCAUAGUGAACAUUUCGUUAUUUUGGAAAAGAACGUAGAGAAGGAAAGAGAAUCAAAGUGGGCUCUACCUCAUAGAGCUGUAAAGACUGGAUCCUUGGUACAGAGCUGUACUCAUGAUGAGCGCUCUGUAAGAAGGAGCUAGCAAAGUUAGUGUUAGCAUGACUUUUGGACUAUUCCAGAAGAUGUAAAGAGAAGAAGGUGGAUAUGAUUCUAGCAUCAAAAUAAAACAGACACGCAGAGUGUUUUCUGAGUUUAACAACCUUAACAAGUUUCUCUAUGCUCAUCUAAAGAAAUAUUGCAUGUCCUCUUCAUCCUUCUUCUUGUGCCUUCUUGCUAACUUUGUCUUUCCACCUUUGCAAUCUUUAUGCCACACACACUACCAAGAAUUACACAUACAGAUGAACAGAUACCAGCGUAAAAACACAGGAAAAGGUAAAGCUCCUUGCCUCUCAGUGACUAGAGGUGUGCCUCUAGGCCCAAGGCUGCAUGUCAUGUUGCUCACGGGCAGGUCAUGUCAGUCCAUUGACAUAUUCAUCAACUCAAUUAUUAAUUCAUUUGCCAAAUAUUUUUAAUGCCUAGUAUAUGCCAUUCCAGUCUCUGAGGAUGUGAUGACAAAUAUGACACAGUCCUUGUCCUUAAGGUGUCCCUAUUAAGUGAAUGAGUUUACAUAAAAACUCUAUAUUUUAUGAAUGGAGAUACAUCAGUAUUCUAGAAAGAAGAUGCAGUAUGUCCCCAUAGUGGCAUCCUUCCACCUAUCCCCCAAAAACCUCUUGACGUAUAUAUCAAAGCAAAAAUAUAUUAAUCAGUAUUUUAGUUGUUUAUUGUAUAAGCACACAUAUUGCCUCUCUCUCAUAUCCUUGUCAUGGAUUAGAAUGACAAGGCUUAAAGCCCAUGGGCUCCAGGUAACUCUCCCCUACCCCCAACUUUCCCUUCAGUCUGCUCUACCUGUUGUGUAGAGUUAGUCUUUCCUAGAGGGUCAUUUAGCCAGAACUCCUGUUUAGAGGAAUGCUGAAAAGAAGGGUAGCAUCGCAGGAACUUAAAUGUAGCGAUUCUUUAAGACUGGAGAGUUAUAUAAGAGUUUCCUUCUCAACUGAAAGAGGAAAGGUCUUUUAGCGGGUGGUGGGGAUAGUGAAAGGUGAACAAUUGCAGAACACAGUCAAUUUAAUUUAACAUGCAUGUCUCACAUCCUAUUCUGUGCAAAGUGCUAUAUUCUUAUGUGAGUAUGAAAGUGACUAUGACCUGCCCUUCCAGGUAGGGUGUUCCUUAACUCUUGGACAUAGGGAGAAAUACACUUGUAAUUUCUAACAAAGUCAGGCAGGUGCUAGUGAAGAGAGAUAACCAUAGCUCAAUCAUCUGGAGAACUGGGAAAGCAAAGGUUAAGUUUAACAAAAAUUAAUGUAUAUAUUCUGAUUUAGGUAAAUAUUAGGGUGUAUCCCUAUUUCUACCUGCUUCCUGUGCCUUCUCUACAAUGGGCUUUACUCUUUAAAUGUUUAAUUAAGAACAUGAGAAAGAAGUGAUAAGACUUGAUAAACAUAUACUGUAUGCAACCACCAUCACAAACACAGCAUAGAACAGUUCCCUCACCCCAAAAUGUCCCCAUGUGCCUAUUUGCAUUGCAGUCCAUACCCUCUCCUCACCCAUUGUCUACUGACAAUCACUUUUAUCACUAUAGUUUUGCCUUUUCUACAACUUCAAAUAAAUGGAAUUAUAGGUAGUCUUUUGUUUCUGGCUUUUUUCUUUCUUUUCUUUUCCUCCCCUCAAAAUCCCCCAGUACAUAAUUGUAUAUUCUAGUUGUAGGUCCUUCUGGUUCUGCUGUGUGGGACACUGCCUUAGCGUGGCUUGAUGAGCAGUACUAGGUCCAUACCCCGGAUCCGAACUGGUGAAACCCCGGGCUGCUGAAGCUGAGCACGGAAACUUAACCACUGGCCAUGGAGCCAGUCCCUGGAUUUUUCACUUAGCAUAAUGCUGUUGAGAUUCAUUCAUGUUGUGAGUAUCUGUAGUUUGAAUUAUUUUAUUGAUGAGUAGUGUUCUGUCGUAUGGAUAUACAAUUUCUUGGCCCAAUCACCAGAUGAUGGACACUUGGGUGCCUUCCACUUUUAGGCCACUGUGAAUAAGAUGCAAUAAAUAUCCAGUUCACAUUUACAUCUUUAUAUGGCCAUAGGUUUUCAUUUCUCUUGGGUCUAGGACUGAGACCUCUGGGUCAUAUGGUAGGUGCACGUUUAACUCUUUGAGAACUUGAUGAACUGUUUUACAAAAUGGCUGUAUCAUUUUGUACUGCUACCAGCAGUGUGUGAGUUCCUGCUGUUUUGCAUCCUUGGCAACAUUUCCUGUUGUUAGCCAUUCAUUUUAGCCAUUCUGUUGCAUGCAUGGUAGUAUCUUAUUGUGGUUUUAAUUUGCAUUUCUCUGAUAUGAAUGUCUUUUCAAGGGCUUGUUUGCUACCCACAUAUAUUCUUUGGUGAAGUGUCUGUUUAAAACAAAUGUAUACAAUAGAAAUUUGUGCUAGACACUUGCUGUGGACCGAUUGUGUCCCCCUCGAAUUCAUAUGUUGAAGUGCUAAGCCCCAGUGAAUCUGUAUUGGAGAUCGGCCCUAUAAGGAGGUAGUCAAGGUUAAAGAAGUCAUAGGGUUGGCCCUAAAAUGAGAGGAUUAGAGUCCUUAUAAGAAGAAACACCAGACAGAUCACUCUCUCCCCCUCUCCAUCACGUGAGGACAUGGUGAGAAGGCAGCCAUCUAUAAGCCAGGCACUGUGCCCUCACCAGAAACUGAAUUGCCUGACACCUUAAUCUUGGAUUUUCCAGCCUCUAGAACUACGAAUAAAUAAAUUUCUGAUGCUUAAGCCACUCCUUAGAGUAUUUUGUCACAGCAGCCUGAGCAGAAUGAUAUAACACUGGAGAAAUUUUGGAGUCUGAAUGCUAUAGAAACUUUUAAGAUAUUGGCAUAAAUAUUAGUGUUAAUCUGAAAAAGAUCCAGAAAUGAAUUCUGAUUCUUCCAAUUACAAGGCAUGUGAAUUUUGGCAAGUUACUUCAUUUAUCAGAGCCUCAGUUUCCUCAUCUGUACAAAUGCAAAUAUUAUAUCUGCUUCCUAGAUUUUCUGGAGAGAAUUAAAUAAAAAAUAUGUCUAGUACACCUAGUGUAGUACCUGGCAUGAGCUGGUGUUCAGUAGAGAACAUUAGGUUCCUCCCUUACCCUAAAACAGCAGUACCUAAACUAAACUCUGCUCCACUGCUUCCUGAAUGCUCUUGGAAUGACUCAGCAGAGAAAGGUUGUGGAUACCUUCAUGUGUAUUUUAUAUAAUAUCCCCAAGAGGUAAUACUGCCUGGGUAGGAGUGUUAGUUUAACCUUCAACCCCAAAUUUAAAAACGGCCUACUUACUUAAUUUUGAACUUACAUCUUCCAGAAGCAAUGAUAGCCACCUUUCCCCUCCCUCAUAGGAGAAAGGUAAAAUAAUUUCACUUAUUUCGUCAUCCAACAAAACUGGAAGGAAGUUUAUUUUUUCCAAUGUACAAAUGGGGAAAAUGAGGCUGAGAAUGGUUAAGGGAACUUCUCAAUGUCACAGAACUAAUAAAUGUCCUACAGGGGACUCAAGUCAGAGGCUGCUUGUUGACAAAGCCCCCAUUCCUUCCCCAGCACCACAGUGUUUGUUGUAAACCUUGAAGGCUGCUUCUGGAAAUGGCUGGAGAAGGAGGGCAAUGUUUCAUGCGUCAGGCCCACAGUCGUGUCCAGCGUGUUUCCUAAGGUGGAUUUUCCACUUGGUCCCUCCUUCCCUUCAGCAGGAAGAUGUGAAACAGCCACAAUUUAGCCCCAGGUGCUCUUGGCUCAGCAGAAGGAGUUCUUGGAAAGCUGGCAUGGAUGUUUCUCUGUCCCACACUUACAGUAAUUACAAAUAAGGGUUACUUUAUGUGGUUGCUCCCACCCUAUAAUCUUGUUUUCAGUUGCCAAGAUUAGUAAAUUUGAGCUUUGAUCACUGGGUUGGAUUGCAAGUCUAGAGUUAUUUUGAUCGUAACUUCUCUGAAUUUCAAAAUUAAUUUUAAAUAUUCAUUGUUGCCAUACAUCAGUUUCAGAAUUUGCUAGCCUGAUUUCAACUAUCCAUCCUCUAUCUCUUUCAGUGGACCUUUGGAAGCCUUUGUGAUUAAGAUCUUUAGUUUUGUUUUUCCUUUUGUUUUUUUUCCUUCUUUUUCUUCCUUCCUUCCUUCUUUCUUUCUUUCUUAUUUUCCUUCCUUCCUCCCUCCCUUUUUUUCUUUUUUUGAAGUCAAGCUGAAUUGAAUUAUGUAAAGACUUAAGAGGCAAUAUUUGCAAAUAGACCUAUAAUUAUCUUAAAAGUAAACGAAAAAGCUAUUUAUACCAGCAGUCACUGAAAUAUACAUGUUUAGAGUGGAAAACAUUAGUAAUAUGGAGAUGAUCCAUAAAAUAAGACGGCAUCUCCAGGUAUUAAGACAGAACUGUAUUAGCUAGAUUUUAAAAGAAAACUUUGAGAUUGAAGAUAUGUGAUAUUCAAUCCCUAUUAAAAGAGCUCUUAAAGUGAAUCCUUAAGCUAUCUUGUAUUUAUCAAGCUCAAAUAAACUGACCAUGGAUUUAACUCUGUGCUAUGGGGUUGCCAGACAAAUAAUCAAGACCUUAAGGCCUGUGAGAAUAAGAUGGUGGCUAGCUUAUCCUUGUUUCUCCAAAGGAUCUGGCACAGAAAAGAUACUUAGUAAAUAUCUGUUGAAUGAAGGCCAAGUUGGUUGCAAAGGUAAAAAUUACAUACGUGAAACGAAUCUUUUGGGACUUUGUGGUGUAUCAGUUAGAAAUGUGCUGGUUGCAGCAGCAGAAAAACCAACAAAAUAAAGUUGCUAAAACUAAAGGGAAUGCAUUGCUUCACAAAAGGCCCAUCCCUAUGGCCUUGUGGAUAAAACCCGGCAACUGGCUUAGCCCUAGUCUUGUGCUCCGACUCUUGAGCCAGCUUGUGGCAUCAAGUCCCCUAGAACAAGUUGGGGGAUGGAAAGAAGAAGGAAGUGUGCUGGAUGACAAAGACAAGAAAUCUCGAAGUGCAUGCCGGGGGUAUGUUGAGUGCUGCAAUUCUUCAAAGAGGCGGAGGGCAUCUGGGUGGAUGUGAUGAGAAUACUUUACAGAGAGGCCAUAUUUGUGUCUGGUACAUAGACUGAAUUUAUGUAAUUUUACAAUAAAGUAAGAUAAAGUUAUUUUGCAAGAACUUUGACAGAAACUUGGAAAAUCAAAAAAAGCAAAUAAAAAUUUUACUGUAAGGUACAUGUAACCACCACUGUUAUUUGACAUAUUUACUUGUACUUAAAAAUUCAUGCUAAUAUAUACAAGUAAAAUAACAUAUGUAAUGUGUGUAUGUAUAUGCAUAAACAUAUGCUUAUAUAAUUAGGAUCGUAACAUAAUUCUAUUUGUUUAUAUUACCUAAUUAGGAUCAAGGUAUAUAUACAUUUUUUGGUGCUACUUUUUCACUUAAUAUUAUAUUUAGGAAUUUUCUUAAUUCAUUGACAAUUCUUCUAAAAUUAUUUUUGAUUGUUGAAUUACAUAAUCUAUAGAAAUUAAGAAGUAGGGAGGAUAAGAGACGCAAAGAAAACUUAGGGCAUUUUCAUGGGAUAUUACAUAGUCUUGUGGAGAAAGAUAUAAUUUGGAGAGAUAGAAUGAACCCUAAAGUUAGGCAAAAAGAUAAAGUGGGUUCUUGAAAAUCAAGUAGAGAAGUUUAGAUUUGAUACUGUAGGAAAAGGAAAAUCUUCAAAGUUUUUUCCUCAGAGGUUCUUAUGAUUUGAGUUAAGCUAACAGUAGGUUAAUCAGCCAAAAUUAUUCAGGAUCAAUAUGAGGAAGCACAUAGAUUUUUUAUUUUGAGAUCAGAAAGAGAAGGGAAUUAAAGCAUGUUGCUUUCCCACUUUCCCACUGUGUGCCACGCACCAUGCUAGAUGUCCUAUGUAAGAAACACAACAUGUGUUCUCCCAUAGGAUGGGAGAAUUGAGCAAUGCUGUGUUCAAAUCCCGUAUCUGCCACAUCUAGUGUGAUCUAGGGUGUAGGACUUAACUUCUCUGAGCAUGAGUCUCUUCACUUGAAAACAGGGAUGGUAAAGCUUACGUCACAGAACUGUGGUGAAUUCUGAAUAGCAUAUGUAACAUGCUUUGUACAGCAUGCACAAAAAUAAUGCCUAUUUGUCUUCCUUUUCCUCCACAAAUGAUGAUGGGAUAUGACAGGAAAAAUGGUUCUCAAAGUUGGCUUCACAAUGGAAUUUGACUGGCUUUAAAACCCACUGAUGUCUGAGCCCCACAUCAGAGGUCUGUGGGAGUGUGGAAGACUUGAAAAUCUUCCCAGGUGAUUCUAAUGCGCAUUCAAGAUUGAGAAACUCUGGACCAAAAGUUCAAGGAAAGAACAAAUCCCACACAGUUUAUGUGGGGAGUUGCAGUGCACCCUGACCAAGGAGAAGGAUGACGGAAGGCCAAUGGUGGAUGUGUUCCCUAUCUGAGAACACCACAGAAGUGAUCUGGACAUCAUUACAUCCCACAGCAUCUCAGCGGCACUAUGAAGCUGUGUGAGUCAAGGCAGACAGAAUGCCUCACGCAGCGAUGGGCACGAACACGUGACUUCUAGCCAAUGGAAUGUUAGUGGAAGGAUGUGUCGGAUAAAAAUCUCUGAUGAGUGAUCCUCCAUGCUGAUUUCCCAAAUGCCAACCGAAUGUAGAGGUUUCCAAGGCCUAAGAGGAGGACAGAAUCACGCAAUAGGAGUCUGGACCCUCAAAUUGCCAUGAGGAAGGCUGUGUUCGAACCAAGAACACCUGUGUGGGACUUUACAGAAGUAAAAAUAAACUUUUUUGUAUGUUAAGUCACUGAAGUUUCAUGGUUUGUUUAUUACAGCACUUAGUAUUACCCUAAUUAAUGCGAGGAUCAAGUGGGGAAAAAAUGGAUUUAAAAACAUUAUGCAAACUCUAAAAUACUGUACAGAUUUAAGGGUUUUUACUGGCUUUGGUUGUGUAAAGUCUUGGGAGUAAGUGCUAAAGUUAUGUUGAAAUAAAAUACUAUUAACAGAUAUUUAUUCAAUGCUUACUAGAGGAUGCAAAUCUUAUGUAGCUUAUCUAAUUUGUUCCUCUUGGCCACCUUAAGUAGAUGUCUUUCUUUAUUGUCAUUUUUACAGUUGAAGAAAGUAAACUUCAGAGAAAUGAAGUCACUUACCUGAAAUCAUACAACUACCAAGGGCUGAGGGCUUUCAUUAAAGUUUUAUUUUUUUGUUUUCCAAAUCUACUUUUGCACCCUAUUAUAGUAUUCAAAAAUUUUAAACUUCUUCUAGAAGAAAGCCAGACUGUUUAUUCUACUCCCUCUAUACCAAAGGAACAGCAGAUAGAUGUGCACAUGGAACAUUCUGUUCAUUCCAAUAAGUCUGAAAAUCCUGAUGUUGGAGAUGACAUUCUUUGAAGUCGUUUUCCAAGUGUAGGCAGCUACUUUUCACUCAAAACUAUGCAGUUCAAGUAAUUGAGUUCUCAAUUUUCUUGCAUUAAAAGUAACCUAGGGCGGCCAAAACCUUGGGUAGAUGAAGGGUUUUCCCCCCUCUUCUGUUUUCCUCAAGCUUCAAAAAUGCACUUGCCAAAAUAAUGUGAUUUGAGCUGCUCUUUAAAUAUUUUUACCAGGUGAGGAAUUGCUGGUACAUUCCAUCUUGUCAGUAAUGAUUUCACAUUUGUCACUCUCAUCGGGUAGACUGUCCACGGACUGCGGACCAUUUUCACACUCAUUUUGGAUACUGUUUGGUGUUAUUUUCAUUCAAGGGCAGGCUUGGAACCAAGCAGAUUAUUUCAUAGACUUGGAAACUAUAGGGGGAUGUAACGAAUCUUAGCCUUGAUCUGGGGCAUUUCUGAUGCAAAGCUUUGUCUAUCAAAAAAAUCUGCUCAUUAUAUAACCAAAGAGUGAGGGGACUUGACCAUUUCCCUCUGGUUCAGAGACCCAAGCCUCAUCCCUUUGUCCACAGGUAGUUGUAGAUGCCUUCCUCUGACUUGAGAAUUCUGGCUUGCUUAAACUUUCUGCUGUUCAGAUAAAAAACAGCAGCAAUUUUCUGCUUGAAUUUCUCUGUGACUAAGUCCAUUGAUCAUCCUUUCUCUCUGUGAGUGAGAAGUGUGUUUUCUCCUUAAUAACUCCUAUCCUUCUCCCUGGAUUUUUUUUUUCCCCCUUCGCUUGUUUGUGUUGUGUUGGUCAGUCCUACGCGCUAUUCCUCUGAGAGACAGAGAGCGCGCAAAAUUGAAGUUAUUUUAUGCUUGGGCUCCCUCGGUCCCAAUUUUCAAAUCUUCAUGUCAAUUUUCACACAUCAGUGUCAUGUGGUGAAUGUUAUGGAAAUUUCAGUGGGGUCCUUGGGAGGAAAUUUAUACACGGAUCCCUCCCCCACAACACUAUCCGGCUGCAAUUCCUGUCUUUUCUAAGAAUAAGUGGAUCUAUAAUUAAUGUGGAUUUUAAAAUAUAACGGCAUUCAGAAUUCUCAUAGCAGGUUUUCGACGCCAUGUCUUCUUUGCAGUAUAAACACAAAAGCAUAAAUGCUUGCUAGCUCUCUCUCCUAAUAAAUGGGCUUGUGUAAAAGGAAUAAAAAUUACAGUUUGUUGGCUGUAAAGAGCAACUAAUUACUCAGGAAGAAGCAUGUUUUUAUUUUUCAAAACUGCACUGAAAAUGGUUUAUCAUGCAAUAAAUUUGCUAAUCACCAGUUAGGAAACACAGCGCCAUCACCACCUACCCACAGCGGCUUCCUUUGAAAGUUGGUAUGUUACAGUUUGGAUAGGAAAUUAUAUCCUUUUGAAAAUGAACAUGACAGAAGACGUUCACUGAAUAGCUUAAAACUCCUCAGCAGUCAGAAUUCAAACUGCAUAAACAAGAGUGUGGAUAUUGGUGCCAACAGACAGCAACUACUGACCUUGGAUUUGCUUGGUGAGCAGACCACCCAGGACCCCUUCUCAUGAAGACAGGUAUUCAUUUCCUUUUGCUCUUUCCCUUUUAACAGUGAAAGUGGAAGACCCCCAAAUGAAGAAUACAAGGUUGGCCUUAAUUUUUUCACUUUCCUUUUCUUCAGCCCCUCGCCAUCCUAUAAAUGUUAAUUUCUUAUAGAUUUGCCUUACAUUUUUCCAGAAGAACCUGGAGAACUGUCUUCUCAUCCAGAACUGUAGGAGUCCAGCUUGAUGAACUUGAAACCAUACAAACCAGUAACAGGAAUAUCUUAUCCCUGCUGCUGGCCCACUCUCUUGCUUCGAAGGUACUUGGCAAUGACUUUCGUAUUGUUCUCCCCAGAAAGGACAUCCAUGGACAUCCUCAUCAAUGAUCAUUGCUGUCUUCCCCUGUCUCCAUGUUUUUCUUGCCAUUACUCUGUCAUAUUUCCUUCUAAGACUUCUUAAUAUUAAAAAUUAUCUCAUUGAUUUGUGUGUUUAUUGACUUAUUAUCUGGUUCGCCACUGGCAGGUACCUUCAGUGAAAGAGGAAACCUUGUGUUCUUUUUGUUGUUGUUGUUGUUUUUUGAGGAAGAUUAGCCCUGAGCUAACUGCUGCCAAUCCUCUUCUUUUCGCUGAGGAAGGCUGGCCCUGAGCUAACAUCAAUGCCCAUCUUCCUCUACUUUAUAUGUGGGAUGCCUACCACAGCAUGGCGUGCCAAGCAAUGCUGUGUCCACACCCGUGAUAUGAACUGGCGAACCCCAGGCUGCUGAAGUGGAACGUGUGCACUUAACUGCUGUGCCACUGGGCUGCUCCCGAAACAUUCUGUUUUGAUCAGCUCAGUAUCACCAGAUCUUGGUCAGACGUCGGGCACAGAGUAAUUUUCAAUGUAUACUGAAGGGUUCAACAAAUGAAUGAAUGAAUGAAUGGACAUUUUGGUUUUUCAUCCCUACCUCAAAAAGCACAGCAUUCAUUAACCAUGAUGUAGCUGACUUGCCACCCCUCAAACAUAGGGGUAUCUAGAGGUAAGGCACCUUUGGGUUUAAAAGUUGGGAGGAGGUGUUUGUUUAAGCUUUCCUUUUGACUAGAAGGAAGGAACAGUAAAUUUUGUGGUCAACUUUCCUUUCUUUGGAGAAAAUGCAUUGUGUGGGAAGCUGGUUAUUAGGUCUGAUUGGUGGAAGGUCACCAGGUCACCAGCCCUGGCUUGCAAUGGCCUGGUGUCUAAGGAGAAGACACUCACAGGCCAGGAGACUCCAGUGGCAGCACUCCCACCGGUGGCCCCACACAAUGGAGUCUUGGAUCAGUACCUUUCUUAGAUGUACAACUGUGAGCAACUCACUCAAUUUCUUCAGUUCUCAGUUGUCUUGCCUGAAAAUCACCAUAUAACCCCCUACCUCACCUAGAGUUAUUAGAAUUAAAUAAAAACACGUGUCCAACACUAUUUUGUAAACUACUGAGGGCCAUACAAAUAUUUUGGCUGGUUUGAUAUAGAAGAAAUGGUCAAGGAUAUAUUAAAAAUGAAAAGACUGUUCUUUUGUGUGACAAUUUUUGUCCCGUCUGUACUAUAAGAAAGAUAGGUAAGAAAGUCACCAUUUUAUAGAUCAAUAAACUGAGGACUAGGGAAGCUGUGUCAUGCUUAGCAUCAUAGAUAAUACUGUCUAUCUUUGCAUCUGGAACAGGCCCCAGAUCUCUAGAUGAUUAGUGCGGUAAUUUUGUUUCUAGAUGGUUGCAGUAAUUUCUGGUUCUCUUUCCACAGGAGCUGUCGCUGGGGGCACUGGUUCAUCAGAGCAAUGCUGUGGUUGGGUCUUGGGCCUGAGAGUCGAUCAGCCAAGUUAACAGGUUUGGCUUGACAUGGCCGAGUCGGAGGACAAGCACACAUCUGAGUCCAGAAGAAAAGCAUCAAGAACAACUCUAAAUUCAAGGACAAACUUGGAUCAGGAAUGGCAAAUCAAGUCAAAUACUAGAGUCCGGAAGAAGGUAUUUUUAGAAAGAGAGGCAGACAGAAUAGCCAGGACAAUGCAAAGAGGGUCCAGAACUUUCCACAUCAAUAACCCUGAGAUGCCCCAACAUUGCGGUUGCGGGUAUGGUAGGCUAUAUAUUGAAUAAGUGGCCCAGGCUGAUCCAAAGGUAUGGGGCAGCAAUAGGAACUAUGCUUCUCCAUAGAUUCUUCCAUAAAGACAGGAGCCUUUUAUUAGUUUGAGGGGCUUCCUGUAGUAAAAGAGUUAUGGGAGAGGCAGUAGCAAAGACACACCCCUUGACCACAAUGUUGCCCCCACCCCAAAGGAAGACUUUCCUAGAGUGGAUUUGAUGUCUAUGGACAUAACCUGAAAAAGACAAAUCGUUUUGGGAAACACUAGUUUGAAGAAAAUUAGAUGCAGGAUUUCUCAGAGCCUUUAAUAGUUUAAUACUCAUUUAAUAAUAAUUGUGGCCAUUAAACAGGCUCCUUGAAUUUUGAAGAGUAGUUCACCGACGGAUUUCGCGAAGAGUGUGUGGUAUUUCCUAAAUGCACUUCAACACCAACACACAUAUUUUUCUAGAAUCUCUUGAUAGAGUAGUGUUCCACAGGAUGUAGUUUGCUCACGUUGGUCUAGGUAACCUGUUACACCGAUUUAGGUAACUUUUUUGUAUACGGUGAAUGAAGUCACACUGCAGUUAUUGUUUUUCCUUUUUAACUCAUUUCAUCAUUACCGUCAUUAGGCUGCAGUCCAUUUAACCCUUUGAUUCAUUGUUUCUCUGUGAAGUGUAGGCAGCUUCACGGCGACAGAAAAAAUAGGACAGAGAGAGAAUCAUGUCUCAGGGUCAAAGUAGGCGUAUUGAUCUACCUAGAGCUAUUCUGGAAUGUUUCUGUUUCCUGUUCUCAUUUACACUCAGAGAAGUCUUCACGGUCCAAUGGGUGAAACUCGGUUAAAAUGUGAUAGAUUCUUUUGAUUUUAUAGGAUCAAAGAGGCUUUCUACUCAUUAAACUUCUCACAGUAACAUUCUUUCUUAAGUCUGUUUUCAAAUUUAAGAGCUCAGGGGAAUGGAGUUUGCUGAAAGUCUAUCAUUUAGAGAAUAUCGAAGCUGCAUUACAUUAUGUCAAGUUCAGUCUUCCCAUUGCUCCAUUUUGAUUCUCCUCCUAUGUAAUUAUUGCUUGGAGAACAAGCAACUGACCUUUUCCUCCUUUCCUGUUUCAGCACAAAAAGAUGGAAUUAAUCCUUUUACAUGAAAUUAGAACUGUGAAUUCUAAGACCCUAAUCCAAAAUGUCCCUGUCUUGAUUAUGGUUUCUCACUGCAGUUUUCUCUUUUGUAGAAUGGAACGAAGUCUUCUUACCUGGAAAAAAUGGAUAAAAUGAAAAUAAAUAAACAACAUGUGGGCUUUCAUUUAUGUUUUCCUUUGUGUUCUGCAAAACUAAUGGAAACUUCAAAUGAAUGUUUUUCUCAGGUCAAUUAUCAGUAACAAUAAUGGGACACAGUAUAGUGUGAUAUUUAAGUGGAACACAUUCUAGAAUCUGAUUACCUGGGUCCGCACUGUGCCCCAGAAGAUUUUGCACAUGCAAAAUCGAACCUCUCUGGGCCUCAGUUUCCUUCUCUCUAAGAUGAGGUUGUAGUCAUAAUCCUUAUCUCCUAUUGUAAGAUUUAAAGAUAAUCCACAUAAAGCAAUUAGGGACAGUUAAGCACUCAACAAUAUUAGCUAUCAUCACUACCAUCUGUACUUUUAAGUUUCACUUACCAGUUUUUUCUACUAGAAGUUUACGAAAUCCAAACAUGUAGAAAUAUGUAGGUAGCCCCCUUGAGCAUUAAAAUACUUGUGUUGUUGUUGUUGUUGUUAGAGAACACAGACGUACAAAUGUAACAUUUUUUCCUCUAACCUAAUUAUCUGUUGACUCAAUAAAUGAAUUCAUCAAUUCAACCUCUUAUUUCAGAUCCUUUGCAAAGAGAAUAUCAUGUGCCUGUGCCCUAUGAACUUUUUCUUUCUUCUUUUGUUUUCUUCUCUGAUGAGCUACAAAUCAGGACAAAUGUAGUAGGUGUCAGAAAUAAUUUACCUACAUGUGUGUAAUGAGUUUGGACAAACGCAUGAGCAACAUAUCUCUUUCUUCCACAUGGGAGGACCAGCACCAGGUCCUUCUUUCCAGCUGGAAGGGCUCAUGAACUGCUAGCUUUGCGGGUUCAGCUUGACAUCUCCACUUCCAGGCCAGCUAGUAGUCAC
Equus caballus (horse) is the source of this 13642-nucleotide long non-coding RNA. The record is from Ensembl. NCBI's taxonomy places the organism in Eukaryota, Metazoa, Chordata, Mammalia, Perissodactyla, Equidae.